RNAcentral lists this ribosomal RNA (253 nucleotides) under uncultured bacterium. RNAcentral's name for it is "partial 16S ribosomal RNA". It matches the Rfam family "Bacterial small subunit ribosomal RNA", at positions 524 to 776 of the family's 1533-position model. The record is from RNAcentral.
UACGGGGGGGGCAAGCGUUGUUCGGAAUUACUGGGCGUAAAGGGCUCGUAGGCGGCCAACUAAGUCAGACGUGAAAUCCCUCGGCUUAACCGGGGAACUGCGUCUGAUACUGGAUGGCUUGAGAUUGGGAGAGGGAUGCGGAAUUCCAGGUGUAGCGGUGAAAUGCGUAGAUAUCUGGAGGAACACCGGUGGCGGAGGCGGCAUCCUGGACCAACACUGACGCUGAGGAGCGAAAGCCAGGGGAGCAAACGGG